AGGCUAUGAUGAUGAAAAGUCAUGCACCACUCUGAUAUAUUUUCAUUAACAUCAGUGCUGAUAAAAACGACUACCCAAACAUAUCUCUGAGCCU
RNAcentral lists this small nucleolar RNA (94 nucleotides) under Macleaya cordata. Its description in RNAcentral is "Small nucleolar RNA Z221/R21b". It matches the Rfam family "Small nucleolar RNA Z221/R21b". Rfam says of the family: Z221 is a member of the C/D class of snoRNA which contain the C (UGAUGA) and D (CUGA) box motifs. Most of the members of the box C/D family function in directing site-specific 2'-O-methylation of substrate RNAs. The record is from Rfam by way of RNAcentral. Lineage: Eukaryota; Viridiplantae; Streptophyta; Magnoliopsida; Ranunculales; Papaveraceae.